This is a long non-coding RNA of Corythoichthys intestinalis (scribbled pipefish), 441 nucleotides long. RefSeq lists it as uncharacterized. The record is from RefSeq and is a predicted model, not a curated record. NCBI's taxonomy places the organism in Eukaryota, Metazoa, Chordata, Actinopteri, Syngnathiformes, Syngnathidae. The transcript is spliced from 3 exons.
AAAACAAUUUUCCAAAAGAGUAAAUAUUAAACUGGCUUUUGAGUAAUAAAAACACCAAUUUUGGACAUAAAAAAGCUCACUCAGAGGAAGAACUGCAAAUCAGUGAACAACAUGAAGACCGUCCUUGCCGCCCUACUCGUCUUUGCGCUCAUCAAUCAAGGUGAGGCCCUGCAAUGUUAGUGCGGAGGAUCGCGACAAUGUUCUGGACGGAUUGAGGACUGCUCUGCUGACAGUGAUACAUGUAUCAGUGCCGUUUAUAAUCCCCCGAUUAUACCCAGCUACUUCAAAGGCUGCUAUACGAAGCAUGGCUGUGAUCUGUUGAGUCGCUUCGCCACCGUUUCCUGCUGUGACAGCGACUUGUGUAACAGAUAAAAGUCCGUGGAUGGAAUCCAGCCCUUCUUUACCUUUUAGUAGCUGAAUAAAUACAUUGAUGACCUAUGA